RNAcentral lists this ribosomal RNA (433 nucleotides) under uncultured bacterium. RNAcentral's name for it is "partial 16S ribosomal RNA". It matches the Rfam family "Bacterial small subunit ribosomal RNA", at positions 29 to 507 of the family's 1533-position model. The record is from RNAcentral.
AACGAACGCUGGCGGCAUGCCUAACACAUGCAAGUCGAACGAUACCUUCGGGUCUAGUGGCGCACGGGUGCGUAACGCGUGGGAACCUUCCCUUAGGUUCGGAAGAACUCCCCGAAAGGUGUGCUAAUACCGGAUAAUGUCUUCGGACCAAAGAUUUAUCGCCUUUGGAUGGGCCCGCGUUGGAUUAGCUAGUUGGUAGGGUAAAAGCCUACCAAGGCGACGAUCCAUAGCUGGUCUGAGAGGAUGAUCAGCCACACUGGGACUGAGACACGGCCCAGACUCCUACGGGAGGAAGCAGUGGGGAAUAUUGGACAAUGGGCGAAAGCCUGAUCCAGCAAUGCCGCGUGAGUGAUGAAGGCCUUAGGGUUGUAAAGCUCUUUUACCCGGGAUGAUAAUGACAGUACCGGGAGAAUAAGCUCCGGCUAAAUACGUG